Molecule: ribosomal RNA, 396 nt
Filed under: uncultured bacterium
Lineage: Bacteria
Description: partial 16S ribosomal RNA
Rfam family: Bacterial small subunit ribosomal RNA
Source: RNAcentral
AUACGUAGGUGGCAAGCGUUGUCCGGAUUUACUGGGUGUAAAGGGAGCGCAGGCGGGGAAGCAAGUCAGUUGUGAAAACUAUGGGCUUAACUCAUAGAUUGCAGUUGAAACUGUUUCUCUUGAGUGGAGUAGAGGUAAGCGGAAUUCCGAGUGUAACGGUGAAAUGUGUAGAGAUUCGGAGGAACACCAGUGGCGAAGGCGGCUUACUGGGCUCUAACUGACGCUGAGGCUCGAAAGUGUGGGGAGCAAACAGGAUUAGAUACCCUGGUAGUCCACACUGUAAACGAUGAUUACUAGGUGUGGGGGGUCUGACCCCCUCCGUGCCGCAGUUAACGCAAUAAGUAAUCCACCUGGGGAGUACGACCGCAAGGUUGAAACUCAAAUGAAUUGACGGGG